This 782-nucleotide ribosomal RNA is filed under the name uncultured Enterobacteriaceae bacterium. RNAcentral's name for it is "SSU rRNA". It matches the Rfam family "Bacterial small subunit ribosomal RNA", at positions 59 to 830 of the family's 1533-position model. Lineage: Bacteria; Pseudomonadati; Pseudomonadota; Gammaproteobacteria; Enterobacterales; Enterobacteriaceae. The record is from RNAcentral.
AAGUCGAACGGUAACAGGAAACAGCUUGCUGUUUCGCUGACGAGUGGCGGACGGGUGAGUAAUGUCUGGGAAACUGCCUGAUGGAGGGGGAUAACUACUGGAAACGGUAGCUAAUACCGCAUAACGUCGCAAGACCAAAGAGGGGGACCCUCGGGCCUCUUGCCAUCGGAUGUGCCCAGAUGGGAUUAGCUUGUUGGUGGGGUAACGGCUCACCAAGGCGACGAUCCCUAGCUGGUCUGAGAGGAUGACCAGCCACACUGGAACUGAGACACGGUCCAGACUCCUACGGGAGGCAGCAGUGGGGAAUAUUGCACAAUGGGCGCAAGCCUGAUGCAGCCAUGCCGCGUGUAUGAAGAAGGCCUUCGGGUUGUAAAGUACUUUCAGCGGGGAGGAAGGGAGUAAAGUUAAUACCUUUGCUCAUUGACGUUACCCGCAGAAGAAGCACCGGCUAACUCCGUGCCAGCAGCCGCGGUAAUACGGAGGGUGCAAGCGUUAAUCGGAAUUACUGGGCGUAAAGCGCACGCAGGCGGUUUGUUAAGUCAGAUGUGAAAUCCCCGGGCUCAACGUGGGAACUGCAUCUGAUACUGGCAAGCUUGAGUCUCGUAGAGGGGGGUAGAAUUCCAGGUGUAGCGGUGAAAUGCGUAGAGAUCUGGAGGAAUACCGGUGGCGAAGGCGGCCCCCUGGACGAAGACUGACGCUCAGGUGCGAAAGCGUGGGGAGCAAACAGGAUUAGAUANCCUGGUAGUCCACGCCGUAAACGAUGUCGACUUGGAGGUUGUGCC